Molecule: non-coding RNA, 3516 nt
Organism: Equus caballus (horse)
Lineage: Eukaryota; Metazoa; Chordata; Mammalia; Perissodactyla; Equidae
Source: RefSeq, a predicted model, not a curated record
AGAGAGGAAGAGAAAGAAGAAUUUUAAAAAGCAAUAACCAAAUUAAUAAAAGACAAUUAACUUAGACUCGUAACUGAUGGCUGACAGUUCUCUGUGCUGGUACCAUUCCUCUGUUUGCCAUCGAAUCUCUGAAUCAGUAUAUAUGUGGAUGAAUCCCUCAUACUUUGUAACUCUUGCACUAUCACAUUAAGAAAUUAAUAUGUGUAGGCGAGCAAUAAUUUACUACUUUACUUCAAGCAUUUGUUUAAUGUUCUGAAUGCAUCCCCACUAUUAUGGUCAGAAACUGUAGCACUAAAGAUAAGUAAGACAACAUACUCAAAGGUUUUAACGAUUUGGAAUAAAGAAAUUCUCCUUUAGCCAAAAAUGUAUACUCAAACUUAACUUCAACCUCCCACAAAGUUUAUAUGAUCUAUAACCAGAAUGAGAAUGCUAAUUUAUUUCCACUAGUGAUUAGCGUUAACUAUAGAAAGUUAGUCUACACUACUGUCAUAUCCUCCAAAAUAUCUUAACAUAUGCAGCAGAACUCAACUAUUCUGAAUCCUUAAGGAAAAUGGUGUUUUUAUACAGGGAAAGUACAGGAUCAAAAGUCAGAACACCUAAAUUUGAGUCUAACCUUUAUGCAUCCUUGAGCAAGUCAGCUACCAUUUGAAAGCCUGAGCCAGCCGUCUGUAAACUGUGGAUAGUAUCUAACUCAGAGGAAUUUCGUUAGGAUUAAAUGAAACAAUACAUGCUAAAUCCCUUGGUAAAAAUUAUGUUGAAUAAAUUUUGUUUAACUUAGUACCAACUCGAAAACUUUGCUCUAUAUACUUAGUUCUAUUUCUGAGAUAUCCCAGCAUCUUUCUUACCUUAAUGGAAUCUAGUGCACAAAAUCUGUUUGUUCUUUGAUCCCUGAGAUUUUGCAGUGACUCAGAAUCAUCAACCUGAAAAUCCACCUGAACCAGCUAAUUCUCACCAUAUAGGUGUGGAUGCUGAAAGGCAAAACACUGAGAUAACUCUGUAUGGAGGCCCCAUCAAUCAGGCAGCAGCUGUCUUGUGCCUCGACCUCUCGUGGCAAGCAUCCAAGCACAAAUGCUUGUCAAAUACUUGUUGAAAUGAAAUCUUGAUGAAACCCUUGAUAUAAGUUUGCUUUAUCCUGAGAAUAUACGGACAAAAAUUCUGGCAAACUAGGUUGAAGCUUAUGAAGGCUUAAAUAGUCUAAUAUUAAAUACUAGAUCCUUCCUAAAUCACAGCAUGCCAAAUGAAAGGUAUUAAGGAAAACAGUUGUUUUCAAUUUCAAAAUAAAUUAAAACAACAAAUUUUAAAUACUGAUACUAAGAGUAAUUCCUAAUAAAUGAUAUUUUAAAAUAUAGGAGAAUCUAUUUCUAACUAAACUAAAUCAGUUAACAUUUGUUCAGCAUAUACUGAAAAAAUAACCAGUAAAACUAAUACAUUUUAACAUAACUUUUUAAGAAAAAGUAACUUCUCUAAAACAAAAUAUUUAGUGAGUUACAUUUUUACAAAUCUCUUUGAUUUGUAGUUUAAUAGAACAGAAGUGAAUCCUCAUAUAUGCUGCUGCACUCAAUCUACUGAGGUAUUCUUUCCUUAGAAAAUUCUAGAAAACACAAGUCACAAGCACAUAUUUCAUCAGCUAUCAGUAUGACAUCCAUCACGUGUCACAUAGCGACUGGAAAGCUCCACUACAUACUUGUUAAAAAUGGAAAUAACAUUUUAGUGCUAUAAUAAAAAUAUUUCAGCUCUUACAGACUCCCUGAAAGGGUCUUGGGAACCCCUCUGGGAUCCCUGGAUCACACUUUGAGAACCAGUACCCCAAUUCUGAAUAAUCACAUUGUCACAAACGCCAGUACUGAACUUUAUGUGAGGAAAAAAGAAGCUUUUAUUGUGUUAUUGGAGGAAGAAAAGAAGUGGGCGUCUAUCUGUAUGUGUGAUGAGGGCGAUCAGAGCAGACUCAAGUUUCAUCUUUCGUAAUACAAAGCAAACAGAUGACAUCAAAGAAAAGAAAAGCUGCUCAAAGACUUGAAAGUGGUACCUUUGGAGAACAAAAUUAGGGGUUGUAAAAACGAUUUUUUGUUGUUAAAACUAUUUGAUGUGACGGACAAUCUUGUAGAAAAACACUUCUUGUCUUUGUGGACUCUAAAACCUCUACGAUAACUUCUGUGAUGAAAUAUUGGAAAUAAUAUUUUAGCAGCAAUAAAUUUCAAAGAAAAAAUUAAGGUCAGUUAUUACUGUAAUAGUUUCUAAGGUACUGUCUAAGUUAUUUUAUUAUACACGAAUUUUGCUGCACUGAAUCUAGUUAACUCCCAGGAAUCAGCUGUCUUUUAAUAAUCUAGAAACUCAGUGGAAUAUUUGAGUGCUGACUAUUAUGAGGAUCUGAGUGCUGACUGGGUGACGAGAAGACAAAUUAAUAACCAUUAAGGUCAACCAGGGAAGACUUCAGAUGAUACAAGAUUUGAAUUAGGCUUCGAAGGAAGAGAGGGCAAGGCCUGCUAAGUCAGAGGUGGUGGCAUAUGCAGAGGCACAAAAUGUGGAAUGAAUAAGCCAUGAGCAAGCAAACUACUUCUGAAGUUAGAUCUGAUGUGUAGGCAAAGUUGGGAGAAAUAAAAUCUCCCACAUUUUGAGCAGGGAAAUCAGAUAGGAUUGAGAAAUAACUUUAAAAAGACCACCCGGUUUCUGAAAGAUCUAGUAUUGGGACAGUUAACUCAUCAAUUUCUGUAAGCAACUAUAAUAUUAGCGCUAAAGUUACGGUUCUGGAAAUCUCAUGUGUGGAUAGCUGAAAUCACUGUAGAUGAACCCCCAAAGGAAGAAGUGUGAGGUAAGAAAAUAAAGGCUUAAAAACAGAGGCUCAGCUGACAUUUAAGUUAAAAGCUGGUAAAAAGACCAGAAAAUAAGAGGUCAGAAAGACAGACAAAUUAGAACAGCACCACAAAAGCCAAAGUCAAAAAUAUUUUAAGCGCUAGUCAAUAUUGUAAGAAGAGAGCAGUAUUUAAUGUGGUACUCUUCCUUUCACGUUCAGUAAGCACUGAUGGACCGAUAGCACAAAAACACAGACACGAGAGAUCCUCUAUCUUUUGCUCAGGACUCAGAAAGAAGCAAAGUGACCUCUGGAAAACAGAAACACUGAUUUUCCCAAAGGAUCUCAACACAGAAAGCGUUGGCACCAGUCUAGAAAGCAGGACUUCCUGAGGCAAUACGGGACUUUAAGGACAUUAAGGGCUCUCACCACGCUACUAAAAUUCAGAGAGAUGGAGCUGGACCAAGAUCUUCCCAUCAAAGUUCAAAGCCAGAAGUGAAUCACAAGGGCACAAUCACACGAAUCUGCGCUGUGGAACAUUUUACAAGCCAUCUGGCUGGAUUCCUCAAAAAGUCAACGUGUGAAAGAGUGAAAAAAGUGGGGGGAAUGUUCUAGAUUAAAGAGACUGUUUUAUUAGAUUCAAGACCCUUACCCCCACCCCCAGCUGUAAAGGAUAUUUUCGGGACAAUUGAGAGAAAUGUGAAUAUAAAAUGAAAUGUUAAAUCCUU